UGGGCAAACCUAGUGAAAGCUAGGGACGCAAAGCUAAAGGGUCUAAAAAAUGUAAAUUUUAUGACAGCCAGUUGC
RNAcentral lists this non-coding RNA (75 nucleotides) under fish gut metagenome. RNAcentral's name for it is "Cyclic di-GMP-I riboswitch". It matches the Rfam family "c-di-GMP-I riboswitch aptamer", at positions 10 to 83 of the family's 87-position model. From Rfam's summary of the family: GEMM was predicted in a large-scale screen for bacterial structured RNA regulatory elements. Genes associated with GEMM are involved in a diverse array of functions, including chemotaxis regulation, signal transduction, secretion and chitin. The record is from RNAcentral.